Long non-coding RNA from Zeugodacus cucurbitae (melon fly), 5847 nucleotides. RefSeq lists it as uncharacterized. NCBI's taxonomy places the organism in Eukaryota, Metazoa, Arthropoda, Insecta, Diptera, Tephritidae. The record is from RefSeq and is a predicted model, not a curated record. The transcript has 2 exons.
AUUUUUAAUUUUUUUUUUCAAUAUUUUUAUUAUUAUUAAUUUAUAAUAUUAAUUUUUAAUGUUAAUUUUUUUUUUAAUUAUUAAAAUUGUAAUUUUUUCAAAAAUUAAAAAAAAAGUUUAACAUUUUUUUAUUUUUUUUUUAAUUUUUUUAUUUUUCAAUAUUUUUAUUAUUUAUUUAUAAUAUUAAUUUUUAAUGUUAAUUUUUUUUUUUAAUUAUUAAAAUUGUAAUUUUUUCAAAAAUUAAAAAAAAAGUUUAACAUUUUUUUAUUUUUUUUUUUAAUUUUUUUAUUUUUCAAUAUUUUUAUUAUUUAUUUAUAAUAUUAAUUUUUAAUGUUAAUUUCUAUUUAAUUAUUAAAAUUGUAAUUUUUUAUUUUUUUUUAUUUAUUGUGUUGAGAAAAGCACUGAGAUCAGCUGUCUUCAUUGAUACAGUGAGUUCAAACCGGACUCAUGUAUAAAUGUGUGAGUACUAGGUCGUAGAUAAUUUCGUAUACCUGGGAACCAGCAUCAACAACACGAACAAUGUCAGCCUCGAAAUCCAGCGCAGAAUAACUCUUGCCAACAGGUGCUACUUUGGACUGAGUAGGCAAUUGAACAGUAAAGUCCUCUCUCGACGAACCAAAAUCAAGCUCUACAAGUCGCUUAUCAUUCCCGUCCUGCUUUACGGUGCAGAAGCUUGGACGAUGUCAACAUCAGAUGAGACGACACUAGGAGUUUUCGAGAGGAAAAUUUUGCGCAAGAUUUAUGGUCCUCAGAACAUUGGCAACGGCGAAUACCGCAGACGAUGGAACGAUGAGCUGUACGAGUUAUACGACGACAUUGACAUAGUUCAGCGAAUAAAAAGACAGCGGCUACGCUGGCUAGGUCAUGUUGUCCGAAUGGACGAAAACACUCCAGCCCUGAAAGUGUUCGAUGCAGUACCCGCCGGAGGAAGCCGAGGAAGGGGAAGGCCUCCACUCCGUUGGAGGGACCAGGUGGAGAGCGACCUGGUUACACUUGGGAUCUCCAACUGGCGCCGAACUGCGAAGGAGAGAGACAGGUGGCGCACUAUCGUCGAUUCGGCUAUAACCGGCUAAACGGUUGCAACGCCAAUCACAUACAUACUAGAAAACUUGCAAGGAUCAAAAAGGAUAAUUUUCUCACCAUUUUAUUUUAAUUAUUUCGCUCGAUACAUUAUUUAUUUCGUGUGUGGUAUACAUACAUAAAUUCUGGAAUUAUUCUAACUAAAGAAUCGCAGUUUUAUCAGGCAAACGCCAUUACAACAUAUAAAUAUCGAAAGCCUCUUGGGUUUCUAUACUCCAAAUUGUUUAACACAAAUUUAUAAAGCUUUAAUUAGUUGCUAAUUCUUAAAACUAAAAACGAAAGCCUAAAUUCAAUUGGCGAAUAGAACCGAAAUGCAUUUUUGUGAGUGUGGCAUAUAAUUUUUUUUUAUUCAUAAUGAAAAGUAUUUGUUGUUUUGCAGUAGCAUUGAAAUGGACAGUUGCGUUAACGGUAACUUCACACAAAAAAAAAGUUAACCAAAAAUUUGUAUGCAGCUAACCAACCAACAAAAAAUCUGGUUAUUACAAUGCGAAGCGGCGGAUUUCUGCAUACAAACGCAUAAAUAAAUUUACUUAAGUAAAAUAAAAAAGAAAACAAAAACAAAAACAUUGAAUUUGUGAACAUUUCAAGUUUGUUAAACAGAUGAAAAUGCAUGCAAGGUAAAUGAUAUGUGAAGAGUGACCGUAGUAUAUACAUACAUAAGUAGUACAUAACAAAAAACAAAUCUCUGUAAAUGGAUAACAUAGACGUAAAAAGUAAAACAAAAAAUGGAAAAGUGAAAAAUAAAAACAGAAACAGAAACAAAAAACAAAAAUGAAAAGCGUGUAAGCUGCGCGCACGCAUUGUUGCUUGAGCAUUUGAUUUACCUUCUAAUUUGCAAAUAAAAGAUUUAUGCUAAAAAUGCUUACAAACAUUAAAACAAAUCCAAAUAAAAAGAACUCAUAAACCUAAAAGUCGAAAUUCUUUGUUCUUCUUCUUCUCUUCUGUAACUACUUUAUCUACCACAUAUGUACAUUUUCUACAAUUACACAUUAAGCUGAAGGAAAAUUAACAUCACGAUUUUCAUUAUUUUUUGUAUUUUUCGCUUUAAUUUAUUCAUAAUUUGUAUGUAUGUUUCAUGAGCAUAAUUUAUAAGUUUAUAUAACUUUAAUUGUGUUUUGUUAUUAUUAUUAUUAUUAUUUUUAUAUUUCCUUUGAUUUAUUUGUAAGUAGAUAAUUUAUUUUUAAUUGAAAUGUUUAACUGCUUGGCUGGAGUUUAGUUUAAGAAUAUAUUAAUUUUUAGACUAGCGCUAACUUAUUUAAGCGUAAACUUUAAAUUAAUUUUUAAAUUAAUGUUAAAUGAAAGCAAAGUAAUGUAAGAGCGCUUUAAUUUUACGAUUUUGUUUUUAAUUUUUAGCAAUUAAAUUAAAUUAAAAAAAAAAAAACAAGAAACACAACAAUCUGGAUUUUUUACAUUUUUUUUUUAAUUUCUUCAUCAAACGAAGCCGGAAAUGCAUUUUUUUUAAUUAUAUUUUUAGAAAUGUUGAUUUUUGAAGAACAAUUCUGAAUAUCGCCGAAACCAGAAGCUGAAGUCUUUCUUAUAUAUUACCAAGUUCACCGUUUUAACAAUAUUUCUGCAUAAAAAAAAAACAGUUAUCUCACCUGGACCCGGAAAAAAUUUAACUACAGAGUUUAACAUAAUAUUUGAUACGCAGUCAACACCUCUGUCAAAACUAUUCUACUUCCGCUUCGGUGCUGGUAACUUGGUAUUUUCUGGCCGACUUCAAUUAAAUUUUGUUUGAAAAUUUGUAACUUUAACUUUCAGAGAACAUUGUAAACUAGCCUCCACAUAAUUUUGAAUCACCUGUUUUCGCCGGUUUCAAAAAAUUAUUUUUCAGAUAGAUUGAGCAAAUCUCUAUAUGUUCUGAAUUCCUCAACUUUUAUUUGUGGAAAUCACAGAAAACACUCCAGCUCUGAAAGUGUUCGAUGCAGUACCCGCCGGAGGAAGCCUGGGAAGGCGAAGGCCUCCACUCCGUUGGAGGGACCAAGUGGACCUGGUUACACUUGGGACCUCCAACUGGCGCCGAACUGCGAAGGAAAAAGAGAAGUGGCGCACUAUCGUCGAUUCGGCUAUAACCGGCUAAACGGUAUCAGCUCAGAGGGUCGGAGUGGUAGCUGCACAAUACACUGGAACACUGGAAUAAGCAAACUCUAUUCUAUUGAAAACAUAUAUUCUAAUUAUGAAAUUAACUUAAGGUUAGAACUAAGAGAAUUACAAAAUAAAAUAACAUUAAAUUGGAACAAAAAUGUUUUUAUUUAUUACGGGAGGGGGGUGGAAUGUUAUGUUCAUAGGAAUGAGAAACAUGUUCUGGCGGUUAAGCAAAAUAGGAUUCAGGUAAUUACGCAUUGAUGAGGUUUUUAAAUCUUAAAAAUGGUUUCUGAGUUGCCAAAUCAGAACUGAAGUCUGACAAAACACUUAGACCCCGUAACAGCCAAUAAAAAACAUAUAAGAAUAUAUACUACUAACUCCAAAUUACAAGAUUAGUCUGUACCGGUAGCGGUGACAACCACGUCAUUUGAUUCAAUUUUCUUUCCAGUGUGUUUGGAAACACAAAGAAACCAUACUGGGUCAAAUCUGCAGAAUACGACGGCUGGAACAGCAAGCAAUUCGUAUCCUAGUUCGUGGUGAUAGCAAAAAUAUUAUUCGGUGCAAUAUUAUUUUUUGCAAUACGGUGUCGAAUCGAUUUAAUAAUUCGACAUAGUAUAGCUCUAUGACCAUUUUGCCUUUCUGCGGGUAGUAUACAUAGAUCGUUUCUUGUAAACUCUCGAAAAUGUUGGAAUUCUUUUAUAUGGCCGACAAGAGAGUCUUGUCUUCAUUGAGCGAUAGAGAUUCCCAUUCACAGUAACGUGCCCGUCUUGAACAUCACGGAAGAAGUAUGGCCCAAUGAUGCCGCCGGCCAAUAAACCGCACCAAAGCGUAAUUUGUUCGCGAAGCAAUAGUAAAUUUUAAUAACUUCGUCUCGUUGGAUCGUAUAUAUUUCCAUAAUAAAAUGACAGACCUUACUGAAGAAAAAUGUCAAAACAGCGUGAAAAAAUAUGGUUUCAUUUGCUAUCCCUAUCAGUCUACUUUUGUAGCGCCGCUAUUAAAAACCCAUUUAUAAGAAUAUCCAUCCGAUUUGAUCACAUAUGUAUAAGUAAGUUUAUAGACAGUCCAACGACUCGAGGUAUCCGUUAGAAGAUUUUAAAUUCUCCUAAAUAAGUUACAAGUCCACGUCCACGUCCACGUCUUGAAAUAUUCGAUUUUGUAUUUUUCUAAAUUUUUCAAAAAAUCAAGACUCAUAACAUACGAGGAUAAUUCGUCCAAGUGGACGAAAUAACUUCACAGAAAAAAUAGCAAAACUCAGCUGUGGUCUAACUGCUUAAAUGUAAACAAGAAAUCAUAUUCACACCUUAACUAUGUGAUUAGGCAUAUUUUACAUACACAUGUGUAUAUGUAUGUAUGCUAUUGUCCUGAUUCUACACUCUCUACAUCCUUUAGAUACAAAACCCAUGUGUAUUGAGAUAUUUGCAUAUAUACAUACAUAUGUAUGUAUGUGUGAAUAAGUAAAAGCUAACAAUGACGUCUGUUUAAAGCUUGUUUGCGCGUCGGCUACCACAAUGAAAGCAUUUCCGAAUACUUUUACUAAAUUUUCUGUACUCCUGUUCGUUUGGCUUGUUUGACGGUUUUACGAGUGUCAAAAUUUGACAGUUAAUGACAGUCUUUACUGUUAUUGUCAUCGUAAAAAUGGUGGUGUUUAUAUAUUUGAUAUAUAAAUAUGUAGAUACAUAUAUACAGUUAAUGUUUCAAAUACAACAAUAAACUAAUAUAUAUAUACGUACUGUGGGGUGGUUAGUAUCAAGCUUAUUAGUAAGUACAGUUGAACUUCCAUAACUCGAACUUCUAUAACCCGAAGUUCUUCAUAACUCGAACUCUUGAAUUGGCAAUAGAAGUCAAUUUUCUUACAAAUUACCUUUCGUAACUCGGAUGUCUCUCUAACUCGAAGUUUUUUUUGUGAAUUAUGGUGAUUCGAGUUAGGGAAAUUCAACUGUUAUUAGAUGUUUUAAUGUUAACCUUUACCAAUAUAUUAACGGUAUUAUUUUAUGACUCAGCAACACCUUCAGUUUAAAUUAGAAACAAACUUGAAAUGGAGCAUUCAUUUUCGGAAACAUUUUAGGGUGCUUUUUUAAAACUUGUAUGAAAAAAUUCUUCGAGUGUCCUUUAGGAUUCUACAUGCUUUACUUAUUGAGGUUUAUUCUGAAUGAACUUAAUUUCGAAAAGUAGUAAGAUGACUGUACAAAGGUUUGAAGAAUAACGCUGAAACCAUCGAAGCGAACUUCGAGUAAUGGAAGUUCAACUAUAUUAUUUAUUUUAUUUUAUUUAUGAAAAAUAAUAAUUAAUUAAUUAAUAAUUCCCUAACUUUUAAAUUAAGCAUUAUUUAUAAACGUCAUGAUCAAAAAACAUUUUUACUUCAAUUUUUUAUUAUUCAUGCAACCGUUUCGAUUCAAAAAAAUCUAUUAUAACUUAGCCUAUUGGUACUGGAUAAAGAAUAACUUCUUCGUCUAUAUGGACUAAAUUACACACAACAAAAUCUUAAUAUUAAACUUGAUUCAAUUUCACCAUUUGCUGUUAAAAGUCAAUUAGUUCACGUCGUUUUUGUGUUUGUUUUAUUAUUUAAUUGGCUUUAAUAUAAAAUAACGCCGUAAAUAUACUUAAUUUUACGCCGCAUUUUUUAUGUAUAUCUAUGUAGUAAUUUUCAUUUGAUCCAAUUUAAAUAACAUAAAAUUUACAUAA